CCUACGGGUGGCAGCAGUAGGGAAUAUUGCUCAAUGGGGGAAAGUCUGAAGCAGCAACGCCGCGUGGGGGAUGAAGGUUUUCGGAUUGUAAACCCCUUUUGUUAGAGAAGAUAAUGACGGUAUCUAACGAAUAAGCACCGGCAAACUCCGGGCCAGAAGCCGCGGUAAUACGGAGGGUGAAAGCGUUACGCGGAAUGACUGGGCGAAAAGAGUGCGUAGGCGGGUUAGCAAGUCAGAUGUGAAAUCCUACGGCUUAACCAUAGAACUGCAUUUGAAACUGUUAUUCUAGAGUAUGGGAGAGGUAGGUGGAAUUCUUGGUGUAGCGGUAAAAUCCGUAGAGAUCAAGAGGAAUACUCAUUGCGAAGGCGACCUGCUAGAACAUAACUGACGCUGAUGCGCGAAAGCGUGGGGAGCAAACAGGAUUAGAUACCCCUGUAGUC
This 440-nucleotide ribosomal RNA is filed under the name uncultured bacterium. Its description in RNAcentral is "partial 16S ribosomal RNA". It matches the Rfam family "Bacterial small subunit ribosomal RNA", at positions 338 to 795 of the family's 1533-position model. The record is from RNAcentral.